GCCCGCCAACUUCGGCGCUCGUCGAGUGCCCCCAGUCUACCGCUCCUAUUCACUCGUAAUGAAUAGGUCGUCGGUUCGAUUCCGACAGGCGGCUCCA
RNAcentral lists this transfer RNA (97 nucleotides) under Curtobacterium sp. VKM Ac-1376. RNAcentral describes it as "tRNA-Thr". Lineage: Bacteria; Bacillati; Actinomycetota; Actinomycetes; Micrococcales; Microbacteriaceae. The record is from RNAcentral.